RNAcentral lists this ribosomal RNA (251 nucleotides) under uncultured prokaryote. Its description in RNAcentral is "partial 16S rRNA". It matches the Rfam family "Bacterial small subunit ribosomal RNA", at positions 525 to 775 of the family's 1533-position model. The record is from RNAcentral.
ACGGAGGAUGCGAGCGUUAUCCGGAUUUAUUGGGUUUAAAGGGUGCGUAGGUGGACUGUUUAGUCAGUGGUGAAAUGCUGAUGCUCAACGUUAGCAUUGCCGUUGAAACUGACAGUCUUGAGAGUGAUUGAGGCAGGCGGAAUGCGUGGUGGAGGGUAAAAAGACAAAGAUACCACAAAGACCCCAAAUGGCGAAGGCAUCUACCAAAGCCACAACUGACACUGAAGCACGAAAGCGUGGGGAUCAAACAG